GCCAGGAUCCUCGAUACUUUUGGACGCUUCCUAUAAUGCUUUCGCCCACUACAUCAUGCCUCAGCCUCUGCUUCUAUGCUUAUGGCCACUCCCACAGUCAUUCUCAAGACACUCUCGACUGAUCUUUACCACAGCUGCUCACGUCAUGCUGCUUCUCUUUAGCUCCCAGGCCCGUGUACCCUCUUUUAUAUGCCCAAAAUCAAGUCUGGAUCGAAAAUAGAAUUUUAUCAGGACUCAACAAUGUUCCUAACC
RNAcentral lists this long non-coding RNA (252 nucleotides) under Elaeis guineensis (African oil palm). RNAcentral's name for it is "long non-coding RNA (EGUI_LNC067973)". The record is from RNAcentral. Lineage: Eukaryota; Viridiplantae; Streptophyta; Magnoliopsida; Arecales; Arecaceae.